RNAcentral lists this ribosomal RNA (1343 nucleotides) under uncultured bacterium. Its description in RNAcentral is "16S ribosomal RNA". It matches the Rfam family "Bacterial small subunit ribosomal RNA", at positions 28 to 1378 of the family's 1533-position model. The record is from RNAcentral.
GACGAACGCUGUCGGCGUGCUUAACACAUGCAAGUCGAACGGAAAGGCCCUGCUUUUGUGGGGUGCUCGAGUGGCGAACGGGUGAGUAACACGUGAGUAACCUGCCCUUGACUUUGGGAUAACUUCAGGAAACUGGGGCUAAUACCGGAUAGGAGCUCCUGCUGCAUGGUGGGGGUUGGAAAGUUUCGGCGGUUGGGGAUGGACUCGCGGCUUAUCAGCUUGUUGGUGGGGUAGUGGCUUACCAAGGCUUUGACGGGUAGCCGGCCUGAGAGGGUGACCGGCCACAUUGGGACUGAGAUACGGCCCAGACUCCUACGGGAGGCAGCGGUGGGGAAUAUUGCACAAUGGGCGGAAGCCUGAUGCAGCAACGCCGCGUGCGGGAUGACGGCCUUCGGGUUGUAAACCGCUUUCGCCUGUGACGAAGCGUGAGUGACGGUAAUGGGUAAAGAAGCACCGGCUAACUACGUGCCAGCAGCCGCGGUGAUACGUAGGGUGCGAGCGUUGUCCGGAUUUAUUGGGCGUAAAGGGCUCGUAGGUGGUUGAUCGCGUCGGAAGUGUAAUCUUGGGGCUUAACCCUGAGCGUGCUUUCGAUACGGGUUGACUUGAGGAAGGUAGGGGAGAAUGGAAUUCCUGGUGGAGCGGUGGAAUGCGCAGAUAUCAGGAGGAACACCAGUGGCGAAGGCGGUUCUCUGGGCCUUUCCUGACGCUGAGGAGCGAAAGCGUGGGGAGCGAACAGGCUUAGAUACCCUGGUAGUCCACGCUGUAAACGGUGGGUACUGGGUGUGGGGUCCAUUCCACGGGUUCCGUGCCGUAGCUAACGCUUUAAGUACCCCGCCUGGGGAGUACGGCCGCAAGGCUAAAACUCAAAGGAAUUGACGGGGCCCCGCACAAGCGGCGGAGCAUGCGGAUUAAUUCGAUGCAACGCGUAGAACCUUACCUGGGUUUGACAUGGAUCGGGAGUGCUCAGAGAUGGGUGUGCCUCUUUUGGGGUCGGUUCACAGGUGGUGCAUGCCUGUCGUCAGCUCGUGUCGUGAGAUGUUGGGUUAAGUCCCGCAACGAGCGCAACCCUUGUUCACUGUUGCCAGCACGUUAUGGUGGGGACUCAGUGGAGACCGCCGGGGUCAACUCGGAGGAAGGUGGGGAUGACGUCAAGUCAUCAUGCCCCUUAUGUCCAGGGCUUCACGCAUGCUACAAUGGCUGGUACAGAGAGUGGCGAGCCUGUGAGGGUGAGCGAAUCUCGGAAAGCCGGUCUCAGUUCGGAUUGGGGUCUGCAACUCGACCCCAUGAAGUCGGAGUCGCUAGUAAUCGCAGAUCAGCAACGCUGCGGUGAAUACGUUCCCGGG